This 686-nucleotide long non-coding RNA is filed under the name Setaria italica (foxtail millet). RNAcentral's name for it is "long non-coding RNA (SITA_LNC001480)". Lineage: Eukaryota; Viridiplantae; Streptophyta; Magnoliopsida; Poales; Poaceae. The record is from RNAcentral.
CAAUCACAAGGAAGGGAAGCAGAGCGGAGAUGCUGCUGCAGUCAGAAGUGUUUUCCUGGCGAGUCGUCUUCUCCUCGCUGUACUGCUGCACGCGCGUUAUCCCUGUCCACUGCGAGAACCCGAAGCUGUCCAACUUCGUGGCAGGGGCAGGGGCAGGGGCUUGCAAUUCCUUCAAGUCGACGGCUGUCGGCUUCCAAGGAGGAUGAGUUAAUCUUCUGCCUGCCGCUAGACUUGGUUCCAGUGCUGCUUAUUAGCAGCUGAAAGCAAAGCAGGCGCAAGAACACUGAACGCCCAGGAACUCGAAGGUACUACCAUUGCCAAUGCCGGGCUGCUUGGAAAAUUGGCGAUAUUGUUGAGCUGUUGAACUUCAGUGCAUAUAAACUUCAGUCAGUGAAAGGACAGGACACCAACAGGUGGACUCAUGGUCGUGGAUGACACGAUGCACCGGGGGUUCAGCAAAACAAGCUGGGCCCAGUUGAGCCAUCCACACGUGGUUCACAACUUAGGAUGCACCAACCUUCAGCAACCAUGGCCACCGUCAACAACGACCGAGUAUACAGUAGUACUCGUAUGUGAAUAGCGGCACGCACUGGCAUGGCAUCCUAGGCGCCGCCGUACGUGGAGCAAGAGGUGGCUGGAGCCCGGAGGCAGGCCGUCGGCGCGGCGCGCGUGGAGCACGAGGCCAC